This 607-nucleotide ribosomal RNA is filed under the name Pseudopithomyces maydicus. RNAcentral's name for it is "partial 18S ribosomal RNA". The stretch from base 243 to 396 matches the Rfam family "5.8S ribosomal RNA". Lineage: Eukaryota; Fungi; Ascomycota; Dothideomycetes; Pleosporales; Didymosphaeriaceae. The record is from RNAcentral.
CUUCCGUAGGGUGAACCUGCGGAAGGAUCAUUAACCGUUACAAACAGUGUGUGCUGCGGCCCCCGAGGUGAGGCAACGAGCCUUCGGGAGGUCUGGGGUCCGCCCCUUCACGCGCACGCGUCUGCCAUCCUUACUUUACGAGCACCUUCUGUUCUCCCUCGGCAUGCGUCCUGCGCUGCCGUUGGAAUUACAAAACUCUUUUUUGCAUCUAGCAUUACCUGUUCCGACAAAACAAUCGUUACAACUUUCAACAAUGGAUCUCUUGGCUCUGGCAUCGAUGAAGAACGCAGCGAAAUGCGAUAAGUAGUGUGAAUUGCAGAAUUCAGUGAAUCAUCGAAUCUUUGAACGCACAUUGCGCCCCUCGGUAUUCCGUGGGGCAUGCCUGUUCGAGCGUCUCUACACCCUCAAGCUCUGCUUGGUGUUGGGCGUCUGUCCCGCCUCGGCGCGCGGACUCGCCCCAAAUGCAUUGGCAGCGGUCUUUGCCUCCUCUCGCGCAGCACAUUGCGCUUCUCGAGGUGUCGCGGACACGCGUCCAGUAAGCAACAUUUACCGUCUUUGACCUCGGAUCAGGUAGGGAUACCCGCUGAACUUAAGCAUAUCAAUAAGU